RNAcentral lists this long non-coding RNA (1539 nucleotides) under Equus caballus (horse). Its description in RNAcentral is "lncRNA (ENSECAG00000059547.1)". The record is from RNAcentral. Lineage: Eukaryota; Metazoa; Chordata; Mammalia; Perissodactyla; Equidae.
UCUCUUAUGACUACUUUAUUCUUCUGAUCAUGUCAACUGUAAAUAUUUUUGUUUUAACUGAAUUUUACUCUGAAAGGUUUCUGUUGUCAUCCGUACCAAUAAUAAUGCCUACCUAACAAAUAUUCAAAGUGAGUUCUGUCUCUUUCAUAAAAUAUGUCCAUUCUUCUCCAAAUUCAGGCAAGAAAGUUCUUAAAUCUAUGCACAAAAUUUGUCAUUCACAUUGACAUUUAGUGCCCCUAUUUUUGCAUAUGAAGUUACUGAUAAAGAAUCAUCUAGGGCACAAAGGUAAAAUGGAAUGCCACAAAUUCCCUCUUUAUACUCUCCCUGCAGCAAGGUAAGCGCAGAGGAUUUAUUUCACUUCCACAAUUUGUAAAAUGAAGGGGGAAAGGCCUACUGGGUCUCGUUUUUACAUUACACUAAAAUGAUAAGUAAAACUGAGUUACAGUUAUGACUCACUAUGUGCAAAGUUUUAUUCCACAUCUCCAGGCCUGCACUGGAGCAAGCUUCCUUUAAGCAGACCUUUGUGCACACAGUAAUUCCGUGCUUCUGAAUUGAGGUCCCUGGUCAAUUCUAAAGCCAAGUUUGCAGGCAGUUUAACUUUACAAAAAAAAGAAGAAAGCAACAAAACAGCAUUUUAUAAACACUGUGUAAAGUUUCAGUAAAUGUCAACUUCAGAUGAGAGUGGGAGCUAAAGGAGAGGUGGUAGAGAACUUGAAUGAAAUGAAAGCAGAACUCUACCUGGUAUUUUCUGACCAGUUGUUCCCACAUUUGUAUAUGAAAUUUUCAGAUACACGUAGUAAUAUUGCCAUCUAAGCCUUUACAGUUGGAAAAGUGCUUUCACAUGCAUUUUCCCACUUCUGCAACCUGUAAUCCCUAAACACUUUCGGACUCAUCAGAGAGACAUCCAGGAUGCUCCUUGAGGAUGAAAAACAGCCCUCCGGACCCCAGUACUCUUCAGGCACCGCCUCUAUGAGAAGGGACCCCGCCCCGGCGACCUCAGGUCCGCAGGUCCCAGGACUACCACGCGCGUGUUCGCCCGCACACUGUGCCUAGUGCGGGUAGCAUGGUUAAGACACAAGGAACAGCUGCACCUUCCGCACGUAAGAAAGCACGUAAGAGCCUUCUGCAAAGUCUACAGUUGUAUCCGUCACGUUUAAAAGAAGCCAUCCCAAAGUUCAAACCCUUUACAAAGUUUUCAGCACUACCUAGGAUGCAGAUGUCGAUGCCCUACUGAUUUAUCCACUCCUUUGAUGAUCAAAUAAAAUCAAGCCCUGCUCCCCGCUGUUUGAUGUGCGGCUCCAUCCAGGUUCUUUUGGCUGCCCCAGCCCGUCGGCUUCCACGAUGACUCCCUCACGCCCCGCUUCCCGGUCCCCGCGACUCUGCGAAGAGGGGCAAAAAUUACCUUAGAAAGCAACUGCAUCGCAACUUCCACUUUCAAAGUCUUCGAAAUAUGAACAUUCUAAUUCAUAAUGUACCUUUCUCGUUCUAAAACACUUUAGACUUCUUCGAAGCUGGCAUUUUAAAAUUUUCUGUUGUUUG